GAUGAAGAACGUAGCGAAAUGCGAUAAGUAAUGUGAAUUGCAGAAUUCAGUGAAUCAUCGAAUCUUUGAACGCACAUUGCGCCCGCCAGUAUUCUGGCGGGCAUGCCUGUUCGAGCGUCAUUUCAACCAUCAAGCCCCCGGGCUUGUGUUGGGGACCUGCGGCUGCCGCAGGCCCUGAAAACCAGUGGCGGGCUCGCUAGUCACUCCGAGCGUAGUAGUUACAUCUCGCUCUGGGCGUGCUGCGGGUUCCGGCCGUUAAACCACCUUCAUAACCCAAGGUUGACCUCGGAUCAGGUAGGAAGACCCGCUGAACUUAAGCAUAUCAAUAAGCGGAGGA
This 337-nucleotide unclassified non-coding RNA is filed under the name soil metagenome. RNAcentral's name for it is "partial contains 5.8S ribosomal RNA, internal transcribed spacer 2, and large subunit ribosomal RNA". The stretch from base 1 to 120 matches the Rfam family "5.8S ribosomal RNA", at positions 35 to 154 of the family's 154-position model. The record is from RNAcentral.